UCUCCGUAGGUGAACCUGCGGAGGGAUCACUACAGGCUUGCAAAAGCUCUGAAACCACUGUUUAUCUACCUGAAUCUGCUUCGGCGGGCGGCCCCAGGGCGGGGCCGUAGCCGCAAGGCGCCCGCCGAAGACCCCUAAACUCCGUCGGCUUGAGAAUCUCUGAGUAUCAUAUUAAACAAAAAAACAACUUUCAACAACGGAUCUCUUGGCUCUG
This 214-nucleotide unclassified non-coding RNA is filed under the name plant metagenome. RNAcentral's name for it is "partial contains small subunit ribosomal RNA, internal transcribed spacer 1, and 5.8S ribosomal RNA". The record is from RNAcentral.